CUUCGAGCGCGCACUAGCGCACGCAGGAGACGUGUCGCACGUAAAGGGUUGGAGCGCAAUGACGUCGCCGCUGCGGAUUGGCGGAGCGGGUUUGCAGGGGGAAGGCGGAGCCUAAGGAGCCCUAGGCUGGCUCUGCGGCGGAAUUGCAGCGCUGGUGUCAGGAAGCCUGUUGAAACUGCGUAAGCGGUAAUCUGCAUUGCUGCGAGGAACUGGGGUGUACCGGGCCAGUGGCGCAAUGGAUAACGCGUCUGACUACGGAUCAGAAGAUUCUAGGUGCCUAGCUCGGAGACCUGGGAAAGCCCGAAACGUCUGCGGUGGAGAGGGGACUCGAAGCCCGGGAGUGGCCGAGGCAUCCAACACUGUCCAUUAACCAGUCACACUCAUCGAUUAAUCUGUCCAAUAUAACGUGUUUUCCUCCUGAGGAAAUAUAGAAAAUUUGUAAACUACCGAAAAUUAUUGGGAAUAAAAACAAUGCCAGUUCUCA
Myotis daubentonii (Daubenton's bat) is the source of this 484-nucleotide long non-coding RNA. RefSeq lists it as uncharacterized. The record is from RefSeq and is a predicted model, not a curated record. Lineage: Eukaryota; Metazoa; Chordata; Mammalia; Chiroptera; Vespertilionidae.